RNAcentral lists this unclassified non-coding RNA (229 nucleotides) under Clavaria echino-olivacea. RNAcentral describes it as "partial internal transcribe spacer 2". The record is from RNAcentral. Lineage: Eukaryota; Fungi; Basidiomycota; Agaricomycetes; Agaricales; Clavariaceae.
AUCUCUCAACACAGACAAGUUGACCACUUGUUCUGAUGCUUGGAUGUUGAAGGCUGCUGGCAAAGUAAUGCCAGCUCCUUUUAAAUUUAUUAGCAGAAACUAAUGCAAAAAGCUGGCUUCAGUUUGAUAAGCACUUAUCUGUAUUGCUGUUGCUGGUAAAAUGCUCAGUUUCAGCUUCCAAUUGUCCAAUUUUGUGGACUGUCUCCUUGAGGCAAUUCAAUUUGACACU